CUGAAAUUGCUUCAGAAAACACAAGCAAGAUGAUGUUAAGGGGGUUAUAGCAAUAUGCCCUAUUAGGAGGAUUACACACAUCCCAGGUACUUUAGAAGAUGAGGAUGAGAAUGAAGAUGAUAACGACAUCGCUGUUCUAGA
This is a non-coding RNA of Ceratotherium simum simum (southern white rhinoceros), 141 nucleotides long. The record is from RefSeq and is a predicted model, not a curated record. Lineage: Eukaryota; Metazoa; Chordata; Mammalia; Perissodactyla; Rhinocerotidae.